Non-coding RNA from Phascolarctos cinereus (koala), 797 nucleotides. Lineage: Eukaryota; Metazoa; Chordata; Mammalia; Diprotodontia; Phascolarctidae. The record is from RefSeq and is a predicted model, not a curated record.
CUUCCCUGCAGCCUGCCUCCUGGCAGGGCCAGCCAAAGCAAGGAGCCCUGUGCAGAGAUAAGGAAGUGAUGACAGCUCACCCCAAAGGAACUGGUCUGCUUAGUUGGGAAAAAAAUAUGGAAUUAUACAAGAAAAAUUACAAAAUUGUUCACACCCCAUGAGCCUACCACUAGGUUCCUGUCCCCACCAACUGGAUGGACAAGAAGAAAAGACUUAUCUGUAUAAAAAUAUGCCUAGCACCUUUUGUAACAAUGGAAAAUUGGAAUCAAACUGUGUGCCCAGUGGUUGGAGAAUGGAGGGACAAGUUAUGGUACGUGAAUGUAAUGGAACAUUACUGUUCCACAAGGAACAUUGAUAGCAAGAAUUCCUAGAAAUGUGGGGAGGCUUGCAUGAAAUGAUGCAGAGAGAAGGAAGUGGAGCCGAAAGAACAAGCCAUGUUGAUUACUAUCAGGUAGAGGAAGAAAACCUCAAAUGGCAACCAAGCCCAAUGGACAGCCUUGGCUCACCCUUCUUAAAGCCGAUGACGUGGCCUUUAAAUCACAAAAGCGUUCAGGAGCAAGCUUGCAAAGUCAUCAUCACUCUUUUGUGUUGCCUUGCUUGAAUGUUUUUUGGGGGGAUAUACUUUGGACUUUGAGAGUUUAUGUUCACUGUGUUAAAAACAAGAUUUGUCCAUUGGAAAAAUGUUUUAUGAUCUUUCAAAGAAAUGUCAUUUUUAUGAUGAGAUGCCAAAAACUGGGACCCAUUUUGCUCAUCUGUAAAAGUGGAUAAAAUGAUAAUAAUAAUGGACUUCUUUACAA